This 629-nucleotide long non-coding RNA is filed under the name Cairina moschata (Muscovy duck). RNAcentral's name for it is "domestica (muscovy Duck (domestic type)) lncRNA (ENSCMMG00000014497.1)". The record is from RNAcentral. Lineage: Eukaryota; Metazoa; Chordata; Aves; Anseriformes; Anatidae.
GUGAAAUACAGUAUAUGCUGCAUGUGGCCAUGUAAAUGAAUGUAUCAACUACUGCAACAUCCUGUUGGUGCUCCAGCCUUCCCACCUGAGCCAAGGAACUCGCAAUACACCGCUAUGGUGAUUUUGUCCCUGUUGCUCAAAGCACAGCCAUAAGAUGCCCAGGGAAAGGCAAGUUGCUUGAACCAUGGGGUGGAAGUGUUUUGUGGAAACAGCACCCAGCAGGAGGGCUGGGGCAGCUGCCAGCAGCCCUGAGAGGGGUUCACUCAGCUGUGUGGCCUGACCCAGGUGGGUGUGCAGGAUGGGAUCUCUUGCUUAAACGUCCCAAGGUAUCUUGGGGAGGGGGUGAUGUGAUGGGUCGGGAUGACCCAGCCCAUCUGAGGCUGUCACACUGCUGUGCUACCAGGGAUUAAGAAGGCUCUCUGUUAAUUAACAGGUAAUGAAGCACUUUGGAGACGAGGAGUAUGCGCUCUGCAAGACAAGAGAAAGAGCUGUGUUCCAGUGGCCUGCCACGCCAGGAGUUGCACAGCUUUUGGACACAUGCUGGCUUAGUGAAGCCUGCCAGGGAGAUGGGCUGUGCAAAGCCUUCUGAUGGCCUGGUGGAGGAUAACAGCUACAGGAGAGGAGCAGAG